Molecule: ribosomal RNA, 277 nt
Filed under: uncultured prokaryote
Description: partial 16S ribosomal RNA
Rfam family: Bacterial small subunit ribosomal RNA
Source: RNAcentral
UACGUAUGGGGCGAGCGUUGUCCGGAAUUAUUGGGCGUAAAGGGUACGUAGGCGGUUAGAUAAGUCAGAUGUAAAAGCGUGGGGCUCAACCCCAUAAAGCAUUUGAAACUGUCUAACUUGAGUAGUGGAGAGGAAAGUGGAAUUCCUAGUGUAGCGGUGAAAUGCGUAGAUAUUAGGAGGAAUACCAGUGGCGAAGGCGACUUUCUGGACACAAACUGACGCUGAGGUACGAAAGCAUGGGGAGCAAACAGGAUUAGAUACCCUGGUAGUCCCUGAG